GAUGAAGAACGCAGCGAAAUGCGAUAGGUAAUGUGAAUUGCAGAUUUCAGUGAAUCAUCGAAUCUUUGAACGCACAUUGCGCCCUUUGGUAUUCCUUAGGGCAUGCCUGUUCGAGCGUCACUACACACCUUAUCACAAUAUUUGUGGUCUUGGCAGGAGUGAAUUGCUGGUCUAUGGAAGUAUUCCAGCAGUACACAAUGCUAAAAAAUAUGGGAAGGUUACCAGAUAUGAACAACAGACUUUGUAAAUGGUUGUAGGACCUAGAUCAGUCACAAGUCAUGUCUGGUCCCUUACCUUAAGGACCCCCAUCCUAGAUGAACUAUGGGUUGACCUCGGAUCAGGUAGGAAUACCCGCUGAACUUAAGCAUAUCAAUAAGCGGAGGA
Molecule: unclassified non-coding RNA, 384 nt
Filed under: soil metagenome
Description: partial contains 5.8S ribosomal RNA, internal transcribed spacer 2, and large subunit ribosomal RNA
Rfam family: 5.8S ribosomal RNA (bases 1-120)
Source: RNAcentral